AUACGGAGGAUGCAAGCGUUAUCCGGAUUUAUUGGGGUUAAAGGGUGCGUAGGCGGAGGAGUAAGUCAGGGGUGAAAUGCCGCAGCUCAACUGCGGAACUGCCUUUGAUACUGCUUUUCUGGCGUUCGGAUGCCGUGGGAGGCAUGGGCAGUGUAGCGGUGAAAUGCAUAGAUAUUGCACAGAACACCGAUUGCGAAGGCAUCUCACGAAUCCGAGACUGACGCUGAGGCACGAAAGCGUGGGGAUCAAACAGGAUUAGAUACCCUGGUAGUCCACGCAGUAAACGAUGAUAACUAACCGUCGGCGAUAGAAUGUCGGUGGCCAAGCGAAAGCGAUAAGUUAUCCACCUGGGGAGUACGUUCGCAAGAAUGAAACUCAAAGGAAUUGGCGGGG
RNAcentral lists this ribosomal RNA (393 nucleotides) under uncultured bacterium. RNAcentral's name for it is "partial 16S ribosomal RNA". It matches the Rfam family "Bacterial small subunit ribosomal RNA", at positions 523 to 918 of the family's 1533-position model. The record is from RNAcentral.